RNAcentral lists this long non-coding RNA (638 nucleotides) under Gossypium barbadense (sea-island cotton). Its description in RNAcentral is "long non-coding RNA (GBAR_LNC004219)". Lineage: Eukaryota; Viridiplantae; Streptophyta; Magnoliopsida; Malvales; Malvaceae. The record is from RNAcentral.
CUCUUUUUUCCAAAAAAUUUGGUAACCUAAAUUAAUGCACCUGCAUAUAUAUAUAUAUAUAUAUAUAUAUAUUGUAGUAGCUCAAAUUUGACCGGGCUGAAAAUAAAAUAAACCCAUUACAGUCCAGUUUACAAAAGCCCAAAUUAAUUGACCCAUUUAACCUAGACCUAGCAGACCGGUUAUAACCUGUAACCCAGUAGCCCAAAUACCAAUAACCCAGUAAACCCAACCACCCAGCAGACCCAUUUACACCCUCAACCCAAAGUACACAGAGCCCAAACGGCCCAAGAUAUUAGCAGAAUAAAGAGAAGCCUAGGGUUUCAGAAACCCUAGGCGCCGCAAUCAUCCCGAAAGACGCGCCUUUUCGAAUCACGCCGUUCUAGUAGCCACCAUCAGCGCUGUGGUUCCAGUUCCCAUGCCACGCCGCAAUCGGCGCAUGGAUCAUGACCCACCGCCGAAGAUUGCGCCAUUAACCUGCAAGAAAAGGAAAGAAGCAAGCAAAUCAAGAAUCAGAAUAGGGUUUUUUUUUUUAGAUUUAUUUGUAAACAGUAUAAAUGGAUGUAAAAUACGAUGUAAAAAGGGGACCGCCUUUUUCUUACAAAAAGAAAAAUAAAAAGAUAUACAGAGACAUAAAAGAA